GAUGAACGCCGGCGGCGUGCCUAAUACAUGCAAGUCGAGCGAACAGACGAGGAGCUUGCUCCUCUGACGUUAGCGGCGGACGGGUGAGUAACACGUGGAUAACCUACCUAUAAGACUGGGAUAACUUCGGGAAACCGGAGCUAAUACCGGAUAAUAUAUUGAACCGCAUGGUUCAAUGGUGAAAGACGGUUUUGCUGUCACUUAUAGAUGGAUCCGCGCCGCAUUAGCUAGUUGGUAAGGUAACGGCUUACCAAGGCAACGAUGCGUAGCCGACCUGAGAGGGUGAUCGGCCACACUGGAACUGAGACACGGUCCAGACUCCUACGGGAGGCAGCAGUAGGGAAUCUUCCGCAAUGGGCGAAAGCCUGACGGAGCAACGCCGCGUGAGUGAUGAAGGUCUUCGGAUCGUAAAACUCUGUUAUUAGGGAAGAACAAAUGUGUAAGUAACUAUGCACGUCUUGACGGUACCUAAUCAGAAAGCCACGGCUAACUACGUG
This 497-nucleotide ribosomal RNA is filed under the name uncultured bacterium. RNAcentral describes it as "partial 16S ribosomal RNA". It matches the Rfam family "Bacterial small subunit ribosomal RNA", at positions 28 to 507 of the family's 1533-position model. The record is from RNAcentral.